UCAGCUUGAGGUGCAGAACAUAUA
This 24-nucleotide non-coding RNA is filed under the name Arabidopsis thaliana (thale cress). Lineage: Eukaryota; Viridiplantae; Streptophyta; Magnoliopsida; Brassicales; Brassicaceae. The record is from RNAcentral.